GACGAACGCUGGCGGCGUGCCUAAUACAUGCAAGUAGAACGCUGAAGGAGGAGCUUGCUUCUCUGGAUGAGUUGCGAACGGGUGAGUAACGCGUAGGUAACCUGCCUGGUAGCGGGGGAUAACUAUUGGAAACGAUAGCUAAUACCGCAUAAUAGUAGAUGUUGCAUGACAUUUGCUUAAAAGGUGCAAUUGCAUCACUACCAGAUGGACCUGCGUUGUAUUAGCUAGUUGGUGGGGUAACGGCUCACCAAGGCGGCGAUACAUAGCCGACCUGAGAGGGUGAUCGGCCACACUGGGACUGAGACACGGCCCAGACUCCUACGGGAGGCAGCAGUAGGGAAUCUUCGGCAAUGGACGGAAGUCUGACCGAGCAACGCCGCGUGAGUGAAGAAGGUUUUCGGAUCGUAAAGCUCUGUUGUAAGAGAAGAACGAGUGUGAGAGUGGAAAGUUCACACUGUGACGGUAUCUUACCAGAAAGGGACGGCUAACUACGUG
This 495-nucleotide ribosomal RNA is filed under the name uncultured bacterium. RNAcentral's name for it is "partial 16S ribosomal RNA". It matches the Rfam family "Bacterial small subunit ribosomal RNA", at positions 28 to 507 of the family's 1533-position model. The record is from RNAcentral.